GAGCGAACGGGGAGGAGCCCAGAGCCUGAAUCAGUGUGUGUGUUAGUGGAAGCGUCUGGAAAGGCGCGCGAUACAGGGUGACAGCCCCGUACACAAAAAUGCACAUGCUGUGAGCUCGAUGAGUAGGGCGGGACACGUGGUAUCCUGUCUGAAUAUGGGGGGACCAUCCUCCAAGGCUAAAUACUCCUGACUGACCGAUAGUGAACCAGUACCGUGAGGGAAAGGCGAAAAGAACCCCGGCGAGGGGAGUGAAAAAGAACCUGAAACCGUGUACGUACAAGCAGUGGGAGCACGCUUAGGCGUGUGACUGCGUACCUUUUGUAUAAUGGGUCAGCGACUUAUAUUCUGUAGCAAGGUUAACCGAAUAGGGGAGCCGAAGGGAAACCGAGUCUUAACUGGGCGUUAAGUUGCAGGGUAUAGACCCGAAACCCGGUGAUCUAGCCAUGGGCAGGUUGAAGGUUGGGUAACACUAACUGGAGGACCGAACCGACUAAUGUUGAAAAAUUAGCGGAUGACUUGUGGCUGGGGGUGAAAGGCCAAUCAAACCGGGAGAUAGCUGGUUCUCCCCGAAAGCU
This 575-nucleotide ribosomal RNA is filed under the name Escherichia coli. RNAcentral's name for it is "partial 23S ribosomal RNA". It matches the Rfam family "Bacterial large subunit ribosomal RNA", at positions 251 to 867 of the family's 2925-position model. Lineage: Bacteria; Pseudomonadati; Pseudomonadota; Gammaproteobacteria; Enterobacterales; Enterobacteriaceae. The record is from RNAcentral.